This 753-nucleotide long non-coding RNA is filed under the name Diabrotica virgifera virgifera (western corn rootworm). RNAcentral's name for it is "uncharacterized LOC126890453". Lineage: Eukaryota; Metazoa; Arthropoda; Insecta; Coleoptera; Chrysomelidae. The record is from RNAcentral.
UGUAAAGCGCACGCUCAGUACGAUUCUGAAUCAGUUCAAAAUUCUGCUGGAACAAAGCUAUUAUAGAUAUGUAUUUAUACAGAUCUGGUGGAGUCUCACAGUUGCUACUCUAAGCAGCAGAUGAAAGCAUACAAAAGCCUUCAGGCACAUAAAUAUUUUACAGCUGGAUUUGUUUUGAAUGGAGUAAAAAUUGUUAAUGAUUUCCUGAUUUCCAUAUUAUUGUUGGAAAGGUGAAGCAUUUCCAAAAAGCUAAUGCUAAACGACUAAAUGCUUGGGUGGGGUGAUAGCCAGUUCUGAUGACAUAGCAAAUGCACAUUGUAUGCGUAUGGCCGGUAAUAGUGAAGUCUGCAGCCAUAUUGCAGCAAUCCUAUUUUUAGCUGAGUAUGCCCAGAGCAAGACAGACGAAGAAGAACCCAAUGCAUGUACAUAUGUUACAGCUACAUGGUUUGGAGAUAGCAACAUAUGCAUUCUCUGAUGAAAAACUAAUGAGUUUUGAAACUGUUCGGUCAGAGUGCUUGUUGAGCUCACUAAACGAACUGAAAUAUAAGAAGUCUUUGGCAUUGUGUUGCAGCGAUAUGAAAAUGGUUAUUCAUUUUUAAUUAUAAUGUACUUCUUCAUCAUGAGUAAUUAUGUAUUGGUCUUUUAGAUGUGUAUUUAUUUUUGUAAUUAGUAUCAACUUGUAAUGAUAAUAUACAUUUAUCGUUUAAGGUACGACUAUGUUUUGACUCUAAAAUAAAUGUUUUAAAAAUCGAA